GACGAACGCUGGCGGCGUGCCUAAUACAUGCCAGUAGAACGCACAGUUUAUACCGUAGCUUGCUACACCAUAGACUGUGAGUUGCGAACGGGUGAGUAACGCGUAGGUAACCUGCCUGGUAGCGGGGGAUAACUAUUGGAAACGAUAGCUAAUACCGCAUAAUAUUAAUUAUUGCAUGAUAAUUAAUUGAAAGUUGCAAUUGCACCACUACCAGAUGGACCUGCGUUGUAUUAGCUAGUAGGUGAGGUAACGGCUCACCUAGGCGACGAUACAUAGCCGACCUGAGAGGGUGAUCGGCCAAACUGGGAGUGAGACACGGCCCAGACUCCUACGGGAGGCAGCAGAAGGGAAUCUUAGGCAAUGGACGAAAGUCUGACCGAGAAAGGCCGCGUGAGUGAAGAAGGUUUUCGGAUCGUAAAGAUCUGUUGUAAGAGAAGAACGGGUGUGAGAGUGGAAAGUUCACACUGUGACGGUAUCUUACCAGAAAGGGACGGCUAACUACGUG
RNAcentral lists this ribosomal RNA (505 nucleotides) under uncultured bacterium. RNAcentral describes it as "partial 16S ribosomal RNA". It matches the Rfam family "Bacterial small subunit ribosomal RNA", at positions 28 to 507 of the family's 1533-position model. The record is from RNAcentral.